RNAcentral lists this transfer RNA (67 nucleotides) under Marmota monax (woodchuck). Its description in RNAcentral is "tRNA.Ala". The record is from RNAcentral. Lineage: Eukaryota; Metazoa; Chordata; Mammalia; Rodentia; Sciuridae.
GGUUGUGGCUCAGUGGUAGAGCACUUGCCUAGCAUGUGUGAGACACUGGAUUCGAUCCUCAGCACCA